Molecule: long non-coding RNA, 1852 nt
Organism: Hippocampus comes (tiger tail seahorse)
Lineage: Eukaryota; Metazoa; Chordata; Actinopteri; Syngnathiformes; Syngnathidae
Exons: 4
Source: RefSeq, a predicted model, not a curated record
UGUGUGUGGACGUUGUUGUUUUGGACAUUAUGUAAGCUGACAAAGUUUACCUUUGACUCACUGUCUUGGCUUCUUGAAGGACAAUCAAGAAGUUAAAAGAAGCUUUGCACUGCUGUGUUCUUUGUCAGUCAGGGCAAAAGUGAGGGCUCCAUUUUCGCCACCCGUGCAAAUGCUGGCGGAUUCCGAUUUUCGUGUGAGUCCGAUGAAUCGGUUCACCGACUUGAGGGGGCGGACUCACGGAGAAACACGGCACUCGGAUGAUUUGGUUGAGUUCGCUCGCCGCCUCACGUUAGUGGACUCACUGGUUGGUUCAUGACAACAGACUGAGAUGAUUCAUCUGCAUCAGUUGACUAACUCGAGUUAGUCGGCUCACGAGAAGGACUGCAGAUUCAGAUGAAUGAUGGAAUCACUCCAUUGACUCUCGUGAGAAGAAUUACGAAAAACACACUCGGGGCUCAGAUGAUUCAGUUGAAUCGGAUCGCUGACUCCAGACGCGGACUCUCGAGAAACGCAGCAGAUUCGGGUGAUUCAAUUGAACCAAGCCACUGAACUUCAGCGAACGGCUUUGUUGGAAACGCAGCGGGCGGUGAUGAUUCGGUUGAAUCUGGUGACCACAGACUCAGAUGAUUAUGUGGGCAGUGGAAAAAAAAACAAACAAUUGGGACGAGACUCAAAGGAAGCACGCAGCGGAGUCAGAAGAUCCCGUUUGAGUACACGGAUUCAAGUUAGCAAACUCAACUCGAUUAGCCGUCCUUGGACCACAAGAGAUGCGGCCUUCUCUCCGGGCGCUGGCCAAAGAACAGGAACCCUCCAGCAUUGUGCGCGACCACUCAGCCGGCCCCCGUCGGACAAACAGGAAGUGACGGCGGCGCGGGGGAAAAACAGGCUAAAAUUAGGAGCUCCGGGAGAUGUGGAGAGCCCGGCGCAAGGGGGACAACAACAAGGCCGUUCCGGAAAUACCUUCAUGCCGAAGCCAGGUUGACCUCCGUGACAUGACAUUUAGCGUCAAGCCAUAAACGGCCCAAAAGCUGAUUUGAAAUCACGCGUGAUGUCAGAAAAUCCCGGCAGACUUCAGGUCAGUGAGCGCCGUGAGGACAAAGGGCACCGGUGUGCUCAGCAAUCAGCAAGAUCGAUAGAUAAAUAAUGAUGACAAAAAAAUUCUGGCAUGUUUGGUUUUUCCAUAUAAUAUUCCUUCAUUUCCUCGGUUACAUUCUUAUAUUUGUUGUCUACAAUUUAUAUUUCGAUGUUUUUAAAAUGUAUUUUUCUCCUAAUAUUUUUGGCUACAUUUUUGUAAUUUACCAAUUAUUUUGCAUUAGCUUUUUCCAGCUAAAGUAGUACCAUUCCAUUUUUUGUCUAAUAUUUUGUAGUAUUUUUUUUUUAUGUGCCUAAGACAGCUAGCAGUGAUGAUAACCACAGAAAAGGAAAUGCAAUUGUCUCAGAACAAUAUGAUCAAACAAUGAAAUACCAAUGACAUCGUUAGCGAGCAGAUGGUAAACCGUCAGCUGAGAGUAAGGAGGACGACAUCGUCUUCUUUUGCGGCCUCCACCUGAAGAGACACACGGGGAAAAAAAAUGAAGGAAUGAUGAUCAAUCGAUCCAUCGCCACCAAGUCUCUCAGCCAGUUGACAGUUCACGAUGAGUCAGGGUUUAACUAGCACGCCACCUGGUGACCUCCAAUGCGGAAACUUGAAUGGCAACUGGAGUGAAGUAAAGGCUGGGUACGCUCACCUUGCGGGGGGCUGCCAUCCAUCACCUGCCUGCAUGGGAGCCCCCGCGACACCUCACUCAGCCCCUCCUCGCUCACUUGCCUUCCAAAACCGCCCCUCACGUCACCCCACCCCACCAAAAAAAAA